GCGGCCGCCUUGGCAGAGUUCCAGUAACUGAACAAGUGCUCCUGUACCGUGUCCAGCAGAGCUGAGCUGCCCGGAUCAUCUUCCUCGGUCCCCUGGACCUCUGUGGGAAGCACCAGAGUUAGACUGGAGGUGCUGAGGGGACUUUGGAUGAGUGGAAGCAGUUCCACCCACUUACCGUUUCCCAACACUAGGAGAGCCAGGAAUAGAGCCAGGAAGAAACGAGACCCCAUGCUGUCUGGGACCUGGAGCAUUGAG
RNAcentral lists this long non-coding RNA (255 nucleotides) under Rattus norvegicus (Norway rat). RNAcentral describes it as "long non-coding RNA NONRATT000441". The record is from RNAcentral. Lineage: Eukaryota; Metazoa; Chordata; Mammalia; Rodentia; Muridae.